CGGGGGCAGCCGCCAGCGGAAACGGUUAUUGGCCGCCAGUUCUCAGGUUCUGUGAGACCAGAGCCUCAGUCUCCCGUGAGCAGAGGGUGUGUGUGUGGCUGCCACUAUUCUGCAGACACGCUGGCUCCACCCCAGAGAGUUGCAGGGCCAGGAAAUCUGCAUUUAAACAGACCCUGGCUCUCACACUUCGGAAACUGCCCGAAGCACCUCUCAAAUAUGGGACAGGUGCUUAGGCCGAAAAUCAGGAAUCUCUUGAAUGAAUGCAUGAAGGUGGAGCCCUUUCCCUUAAUGCGCAGGUGAAAAGGGCACCUCGGUGGAUUCUACUAAAUUUAAUAGAAGGUAAGUAGGACCUGGGUCACACCGGCUUGUGGAAAGUGGAGGUCAGAAUCUGAGAGGCUGCGUUUGGCACUAGGUGGGAAGGAGCUGGCUAGGGGGCAGAGGAAAGAGGGCAGGUGGCUUCGGAUCCGGGGUCUCUCUUUCGUUCAACUCCGUGGGUGUUAAGGGAGCCCCAUGGCGGCCUGGGCAAGCGCUGAGAGCACCUGGAAAGAGAACACCCCGCUGGACCCUCCUCUCCCCUCACUUCCAGUUGCACAGGCGAGGCCCAGCCACCUGGACGCAGGCCCAGAAGCCCAGGAGGCGGGCUAGGGGAAGGAGGGGUUUCCUGGGUCACCAGCCCCUCCCCACCGGGUCCCUGGUUCGCAGGAGGCCUCGAGGCUCGGUCCCCUGCCCGCCCCCUCUACUCUGUUUCCCCACUGCCCACAGCCUGGCCUGGUAAACAGCCCUUUCCCUGGGAAUUUCUCCCCAGCAUCUCCGGCAGGUGUGGAUGGGGGUUUGUGGCCACCCAGCCUCCCCUUCUCCAGGCCAAGACAUCCCUGGUCCUGUUUGUCCUCCCAACAUGGCUUCCAGACCCUUCUCCGUGGGGGACCCCAGCCUGCAUUUCCGGUUCAGAUAGGGUCUGACCAGGAUGGAGGUUGGAACUGUGGUCCCCUCACCAUGGACACAUGGCUCCUGGGAGACCCCUGGCUCCUUUCGGGUCCCCCAUUUCCUUCCAGCUGGGGUCAGGGCCAGCCAGCUGCAGGAUACCCUCUGCUGUGCCCCUUCUGGGCCCCAGGAGGCCCUUCCUUCCUCUUGGGAUGAGGGCGCCGUCCCUACAUGCUUGUCUUGUGGGUGCCUGGUGAUGCUGAACCACCUGGGCCUCCCUCAUGGCGAGGCCCUUCCUUCCUCGCAGGGACCCAUUCGGGGUGGCCCUUAGGAAGGGAGCUGUUUUGGAAGACCCCUUGACUGCCCUUCUCCUCUGUCUCAUCCUCAUUCCAGGACCUUGCUCAGUGGCUGAGAUUGUAUACUCGUCAUUUUGAUUUAGAAAAAGACAUGAUCAGGUUCUGGGAUCUAUUCUCCCUAAGGAUGUCUGGCCAGGGUAAUAGCCCUGCACUGAGCAGAAGGCAUGGAGACCACAGGGUGGGCCACAGAGCAGGAAAGAUCGAGGGAAGGGGCAAAGAAUGGCAGAGGUGAAGGAAUCCAGAGUACUCCAGGUGCUGCACACACACCAGACCUCACAGCCCCCUGUGGAGCUCAGAUUAUUCCCUUAUUUUUCUUUUUUUUUUUUUUUUUGAGAUGGAGUUUCCCUCUUGUUGCCCAGGCUGGAGUGCAAAAGUGCAAUCUCCGCUCACCACAACCUCUGCCUCCCAGGUUCAAGCUAUUCUCCUGCCUCAGCCUCCCGAGUAGCUGGGAUUACAGGCAUGUGCCACCACGCCCAGCUAAUUUCGUAUUUUUAGUAGAGACAGGGUUUCUCCAUGUUAGUCAGGCAGGUUAUCCCCAUUUUAUAGGGAAAGAACUUGAGUCUGCAAGAAGCAAGUCACCCAGGAUUCUCAGGGCGAGGAGGAGGCUGAACCAGGAUUUGGACCCAGAUAUCUCUGGCUCUCAAGCCUCCUCUUUUCUAUAAACCACCUGUUUACAGCACAGAGGGAGCUGGUCAUUGGGGCCGAGCUGGGUUUAUGGUAUCUGAAGCUUACACAAUUUCAAGAGGACUCUCAUUUAAAAAAAAAAACAAACACAAUUACAAAACCAAAAUUAGGCAUAACAGUGAAUUUUAUUUAUUUAUUUAUUUUAUUUUUAAUUUUUUUUUUUGAGGCGGAGUCUCGCUCUGUCACCCGGGCUGGAAUGCAGUGGCGCCAUCUCGGCUCACUGCAAGCUCCGCCUCCUGGGUUCAGGCCAUUCUCCUGCCUCAGCCUCCCGAGUAACUGGGAUUACAGGUGCCCACACCAUGCCCGGCUAACUUUUGUAUUUUUAGUAGAGACAGGGUUUCACCACAUUGGCCAGACUGGUCUCGAACUCCUGACCUCAGGUGAUCUGCCUGCCUCGGCUUCCCAAAGGGCUGGUAUCACAGGCUUGAGCCACCACACCUGGCUUCCCUAUGUUUUUCUAUAUCCUGAUCGCUUCCUUGUACAACAAGGAUUUUGCAAUGCCAUAUUCUAUAGAGAAAACAAACUUCAAUCAAAUUUCUUUGAUAUGGUAGCAGGAAGAGUUCAGGGCAUGGCUGUGUCAAGUUUUCUCAUGUGGGACCUGACCUUACAUGCUCCUUGGAUGGGCCACACUGGUGACCACGCGAGGCUUUGAUGCUCUCAUCACAGGGACCUGUUCUGAGUUUUAUGUUGUCUUUGUUGGUUUCAACAUUUUAUGCCAAAUCAGCAAGAAAUUUAAAUCUUUUUUCAUCAUGAUCAUUGUAUUCAUUCUCCUUCAUUCAUUGGUGAGCCUGUUCCUGGAAGCCAUCUGUACCCUCGGACAGCCAGCAACGACUGAGCUACACAUGGAUAGAACCAUGAACCACAAGAAAUACCCCUGAAUUCUGAACUAUUUCCAUAUCAACUUCUCCCAAAAUACCCACAGCCAGUCCAACACCAUCCAACUGGAUGGGAGCAGGGAAGGCGGGGAAUCAGAGUGGAAAGAGACUUAGCUGAGUUAUUUUUAUUAUUUUUAAAAGCCUUAUUCAUAGACAUAUGUGUAUAUUUAGAGACAGAGUCUAUCACUACGUUGCCCAGGUUUGAUUCUUUUUUUAGAGACAGGUCUGGAGUACAGUGGUGCAAUCUUUGCUCAUCACAGCCUUGAACUCCAGGGCUCAAGCCAUCCUCCCACCUCAGCCUCCUGAGUAGCUGGGACUACAAGCAUGUGCUGUGCCACCAAGCUGGCUUGGUGUGACUAACUGAUGUCUCACCUUUGCAAACUUUACAGAAACAUAUGACAUAGGAACACAUUGCAAUUACAUAUUGCAAUUCAGCAGAAAAAAAAAAAAGAAAGACUUUCUUUUUACUGAAUGGCACUGACUUACCAGGUACAUACAAGCAAGUGGAGUCUGGGGACCACUUUUUGGCUGUUCUAGAGAAAGUGCCCCAAAGAGGAUUCAGCAGCCAGACUCCUGUUAGUUUUCUCAUCUCACUCAGAAGGCUCAGCCUCUGAAACAACCAUUCCAGGACUUGGAGGCAGGGGAUCUGGGUUAAAGGCCCAGCUCUGCCGUUUCCUAACUGUGGGGCCUUGGCAAGUGCAGGUCCUGUGAGCUUCACCAGCCUCAUUAGCAAGAAUAGUUCAUGUUCCCCUGCCACGGAAGUGCCCUGUGAACUAGAAGAGAGCAUGGGCAAGUAUGGGGUUAGUCUCGCUAACAGAUCAGCCAGCUUCUGUCUGGGCAAUUCUGUCAUUUAGGGUUUUGCUGGGGUGGCCCCGGGAGUCGUUUGGGAGUUCACCUAUCUCCCCAGGCAUGGAGAAGGGGUGGUGUUUCUGAAUCAGGAUUCUGAGCUGAACUGCAAACCUGACUGUGCUCCAAGUUUCUUGGACCAGCAAGCCCAGCUCCCAGAGUCCCGCUGCCCUGGCCUGAACCCGCCGCUCCACACCCCGGGCUCUCGGCAGCCGGGCGGCUCGUGGGAGGAGGCGCCAUGAGCCUUCUUGCAUUUCCUGCUUCAGACUUGAUGGAUUACAGAGGACUCCUGCUCCAGCUGUGGGGAACUCCAGCCCGCACUUUGCCUCCAGCCCGAUGGUGCAAGAUCCAGCUUCUCUUCAGCCUGGCAUCAAACGUCUUUUUGAUCAGCUUUUCAUCCAUUUUCUGAAAAUGUAGUGAUUGAGAGAUGUUCUGAAUCUUGCAGAAUUCUGUGUCGCACCCUGGCCACACAUCAAUGCAGGCCUGAACCUGACCCUGGGUGGACUCCCUGCUCUCUGCCAGCCCCUUUCUCACCCCUGGGUCCCCACGGCCCCUGGCUCUCUCCCCUCUGCUAGAAUCUCGCUGAGGGAUUGGUGGGGAGGGGGUGGUCACGCACUGGGUGGAGAUCUGGUGCCCCCUGGAGGCCGGACAGGAAGGGCCAGGGCGGACAAGGUCUUUGAGAACUCGGUGGCAUCCCGCUCCUGAUGGCCUGGGUCCCACCGCCCCUCCCCCAGCCUUCCUGACAGCAGAGGAGAUUGAUGGGGCGCUGCUCGAAUGUUCUUCAUCAGCGUCUUCAGUAAUAAGCUUCUCCAUUGGGUAACCGAUCCUAGUUUAGCAAAACCGUUUGUCAACCAUUUCCUCCCUUGAGCUUGAUAAGAACCCCGUGGGAGAGGAGAGAGGGGGGCCCCCCAGGAUCUGAAAAGCUGUGCCUCAGCCAAGUUCAUGAGUCACUGGCGAGGAGGCCUGUAGGUCAGCAAAGCCUAGGAGGUCAAGAGUGCCCACAUGGGGACCUACGGGCCUCAGGGCCGCAGGUUGCUGGGUUGGACCCUGGCUUGGAGCUCAGGAUAGAAACCCGGAAACCCCACAGGCAAAGAAGGAUGCAGAACAGAACAGGGCAGAACCAAGGACCCAGUGAGGGUGGCUGGCGUCAGAGCAAAUAUCAGAGUUCACAAGGUGAAAUAAUCCAAAAAUCUAUACAGAAAAAGCUAAUCAUUUUCUCCAAUCUCUCCCCCAAAGGUGUCUACUCCUGCAGGCUUACCUGUAACCUUUGUCACUCACUCUUCUGAUUCUGCAAACAUAUAAACCACGGAGCCACAGCCAAGAGAAUCUGGACUUGUUCGUUUUUCCUGAAAUAGGAUAUCUUAAAUAAUCCGUGGCUCAGCACUGCGCCCUUUUUUUUCUUUUCUUUUCUUUUUUUUUUUUUUUUUGAGACGGAGUCUCGCUCUGUUGCCCAGGCUGGAGUGCAAUGUCAUGAUCUUGGCUCACUGCAACCUCUGCCUCCUGGGUUCAAGCAACUCUCCUGCCUCAGCCUCCUGAGGAGCUGGGACUGCAGGUGCAAGACACCACGCCUGGCUAAUUUUUGUUAUUUUUAGUAGAGACAGUGUUUCACUAUGUUGGCCAGGCUGGUCUCGAACUCCUGACCUCAAAUGAUCUGCCUGCCUCGGCCUCCCAAAGUGCUGGGAUUACAGGCACAAGCCACAGCACCCAGCCUCACUGUGCCCUUUUCACUGGCAGGCAUUUUAUUGUCCCUACAGACCCAAGACGGGGUGGGGGAGACGUGCUUUGUGCUCACCUGGCUGGUUCAUGGGCAGGUGGCCUGGAGGACCCAGCCCUGGCAGCUGUGGGGUAGCUCCAGCCUGGGCCGGACAGCUUCUUUCAUCGCAGGCACCACUGCGGACAUUGCUGGGAGGAAGAGGAGGGAGAAGCGACGGGCUUCAUUAGGAACGGAAAUGCCAAGAUUAGUGAAAGAAUGAAAAGAGUCAAAACAGCCUAGAAAAGGCUUCAAUGAUCCUCAAACUGGAUGAUCGAAUCCCGAAUAAUUGGGAAUCAACAGUAAAGGCCAAAGCUUUCGAUGGAUUGGACGAGGCGCGUCCACCCUGGGGAGGGCCAUCAUUUUAUUCAGUCUACUGAUGCAAAUGCUUAUCUCUUCUGGAAACACCUUCACAGACAGACCCAGAAUAUAGUUGAACCAAAUACUGGGCACCUCAUGGCUCCAACAGGUUGACACAAAAAAUGAACCAUUGCAGAAAACGAAGAACAGUCACCAACUCCCACCCAUGCAGCUGGCUCAUUUGCUGGGCUGCCCUCCCCAGCAGGUGGCACAGGAAUCCCUGCCUUGGCAGGGAGGAGGCCUGGGGUGUGUGCAGGUACCCAUGGGAAGUUUCUUUGCCAUGGGGAAAGCCAGAGUCACCCCUUGCUUGAACACAAGAGUUGGAGGUUUCAGUGAGCUGAGAUUACGCUAUUGCACUCCAGCCUGGGCGGCAGAGUGAGACUCUGUCUCUAGAUAAAUAAAUUAAAUAAAUAAAUAAAUAUAAUUUAAUAUAAAUAACUAGAAAUUUUUCAAUACUUGCAUCUCUGUAGGUUACCUCUGGAAGUGCAGGGCUUUGUCUUUUUGGAUUAACUCAGAAAUUAGACCUUCAGAAAACAACAUCAGCUCUGAUUCUCUGCACCCUUGAUGCUGCCGGUGGCGACUGCGGCUUCCUGAUGGAAAUGUAGACCUGAACAUAAGUCGCAGAAAAAUGCAGACUUGAGUUGGAGCUAAGCUGACUCAGGUAUUUUGAGAUCUAUAAUCUGAGUGGGGAGCAGAGAGAUUCCAAGAUAUUUGCAUUCAGUGGCUUUUGCACACAGCAGAACCUGUGCUGAGGGCAUUUCUAGGGUCAUUACUCAUAAUCUGCAGUGUCUCUUUCCAGGGUUCCAGGCGUCUUACCCCAGAGGUGAUUUCCAGAUUUCGAGAAAAACCCAGGAUUUAGGGCUGGCACGGUGGCUCACGCCUGUAAUCCCAGCAUUUUGGGAGGCCGAGGCAGGUGGAUCACUUGAGGUCAGGAGUUUGAGACCAGCCUGGCCAACAUGAUGAAACCCUGUCUCUACUAAAAAUACAAAAAAAUUAGCCGGGUGUGGUGGCAUGCACCUGUAAUCCCAGCUACUCAGGAGGCUGAGGCAGGAGAAUCACUUGAACCUGGGAGGCAGAGGUUGCAGUGAGCCUAGAUCGUGCCAUUGCACUCCAGCCUGGGCAACAAGAGCAAAACUCCAUCUCAAAAAAACAAACAAACAAACAAACAAAACGCAAGAUUUAGAUCCCCUCACUGUAGCGCCCUCAUGGCCUGGUAACUUUAGCAAAGCCUCCCCCUCCUCCCCCUCCUCCUCCUCCUCCUCCUCCUCCCUCCUCCCUCUUCUAGGUACAGAGGAUGAGCAGUGGCUCCCCACACCAUCCCCUGAAGCAGAGGCCCCUCUUCCCUUCAUUCCCCAUUCUGUACAGAUGCUAUGGGAGCUUCAGGCUCCACACUCAGGUCCCCAGUCCCUGAAACAUAAAGCUGAAUAAGACAGAGUCCCUGGGCUGAAGGGGCCACUGUUGGCCAUGGAAGCAGAGUAAACAGAGUGGGGCCGACGUAAAGGUGAGCUGGGGUGCACUGGAGGCACAAAACGGGCAAGGAUGGAGACGUGGGUGACGAGGUAGGGCAGACAGGCAGAGCUCAGACUGGGUCCUAGGCAGGGAGAAGUCACCAUUGUAGAGCAAGGACGAUGUGGUCAGAUCUGGGCUUUAGAAAUCUAGGUGUCUAGCCUAGGCAAUAUAAUGAGACCUCGUCUCCACAAAAAACUUAAAAAAUUAGCCGAGUGUGAUGCCACAUGUCUGUAGCCGCAGCUACUCAGAAAGCUGAGGAUCCCAAGUGGAAGGAUAACUCUAGCUCGGGAGGUCGAGGCUGCAGUGAGCCAUGAUCGUGCCAUUGCACUCCAGCCUGGGCAACAGAGCGAGACCCUGUCUCAAGAAAAAAAAAAAAAAAGUAAAAGAAAAAGAAAGAAGAAAUACAGCUCUGGAGCUGCCUAGGACAGGGUUGGGGACUCUCCUGACUAGCUGCCAGCGAAUGUUUGCUUUCUGUGGCCAGGCCCUGCCUGGCCAGGGUGCACAGGGCUGAGCGAGGCAGAUGGAGCCCCUGCUCUCAGACUGCUUUUCCGAAUGCCAUCUUGACGCUGCUCAAGUUUGGAUUUUGGUUUUCAUGGAAGUCAACUAUGGUUCUGACAUGGCCACCUCUGUCUCAACUGAUGCACGGCCUAGGGAAUCCGGUGAUGCUUCAGCAGGUGGCAGGGCUCAGCUGCACCCGCCCGGGCCCCAGCGCCGCCUGCCACUCCUCCUCCUCCUCCCAGGCUUCGGCUGAGAGCAGGGCCUGGAGCCAGCCUGCUGGGUGGACUCCCAGCUCCACAGUUGGCUAGCUCUGGGGCCCUGGGGAGAUGUCCACCCUCUCUGUGCUUUAAUUUCUUCACCUGUGAGGUGGGGAUGGUAGCACCUCCCUCAUGGGGUGGCUAUGGCUGUGAAAUGAGGUAACGUCUCGGUGUUAGGCAGCUUCCAAAACGGCUCUCCAAGAUCCCCUGCCUCCUGGCCUUCAUAGCCUUGUGGAACCCCUGGCCCUGUGUGUGGGCUGGACUCACUGCCUGCUUCCACCCAAGAGAACAGGGCACAGCUGAUGGGGGUUACUUCUGAGACUAGGUGAUCAAGACUGGGGCUUGCUGGGUCCCUCUGUCUCUGACUCUUUCCUCUGCUCUCUCCUGCUCACUUGCUCACCCUAAUACUAUAUCAAGAGCUGCCCUAGAAAGAGGCCCCGUGGCAAAGAACCAAAGGCACCCAGCAACACGAGUGAGGGUGGAAGUGGCUCUUUCCCCAUUCCAGCCUCGCGGUGACCGCAGCCCUGGCUGACACCUUGCUUGCAGCCUGGUGAGAGACAGCAGCCCGAGGACCCUGCUAAGCUGCACCCAGGCUCCUGACCCAUGGAAACUGUGAGAUGAUAAACAUGUACUGCUUAAGCUGAGAUUCGGGCUAAUUUGUUACACAGUCAUAGACAUCGUUUUUUGUUGUUGUUGUUUUUUGAGAUGGAGUCUCACUCUGUCGCCCAGGCUGGAGUGCAGUGGCACAAUCUCAGCUCACUGCAACAUCCACCUCCCAGGUUCAAGCGAUUCUCGUGCCUCAGCCUCCCAAGUAGCUGGGAUUACAGGCAUCUGCCACCAUGCCCGGCUAAUUUUUUUGUAUCUUUAGGAGAGACAGGGUUUCACCAUGUUGGCCAGCUGGUCUCAAACUCCUGAGCUCAAGAGAUCUGCCCACCUUGGCCUCCCAAAGUGCUGGGAUUACAGGCAUGAGCCACUGUGCCCGGCCUGUUACACAGUCAUAGACAUCUAUAAAAUACUCAACACGGUGCCGGCGCAUGGCAAGCAUCAGUUACUGACCACGGUGACCCUUCUGUGUACACCAGGGGAACUCAAAAUACUCAGGAAAUCUAAGCAUAUAAGCCUAGUCACCAGGCUGUCGACAUGACCCUUAACAAUGAACCUGUGUCUUUUGCCACCUCAUGAUGUCAUAGAAGAAGAGCAGCAUCAAUGUUAAGAGUCUGGAGGAGGGACUAGAUGCUGUGGCUCACACCUGUAAUCCCAGCACUUUGGGAGGCCGAGGCAGGUGGAUCACCUGAGGUCAGGAGUUCGAGACCAGCCUGGCCAACAUGGUGAAACUUUGUGUUUACUAAAAAAUACAAAAAAUUAGCCAGGCAUAGUGGCAUGCACCUGUAAUCCCAGCUACUCUGGAGGCUGAGGCAGGAGAAUCUCUUGAACCUAAAAUCUAAAAAAUAAGACCACGCCAAGGAAAAAAAUCAGUAACAGUAUAGAGGGGAUGGAAGCAGACCUCUUUAAUACACCUUGUUCUUCAGUUUUGACUUUGCCAUCAUGUAAAUGCUUUAUUUAGUUCUAAAUCAAAUUUAAAUUGAAAAAAAAAAAUUCCCAGGCCAGGGCGGCGGCUCAUGCCUGCGAUCCCAGCACUUUGGGAGGCUGAGGUGGGCAGGUCAACUAAGCCCAAGAAUUUGAGACCAGCCUGGGCAAUAUGACAAAACCCCAUCUCUACAAAAAAUACAAAAUUAGCCAGAUGUGGUGGUGCAGGUGCUUGGAGGCUGCUUGGGAGGCUGAGGUGGGAGGAUGACCUGGGCCUGAGAGGUGGAGUUUGCAGUGAGUCGAGAUUGCACCACUGCACUCCAGCCUGGGUGACAGAGUGAGGCCCUGUCUCAAAAAAGAAAAAAAAAAAAGUAUUUCCUAGUUGAUUUUUGUUCAACUUCAAUUAAUCAUAAUCUACCUUCUUUUUUUUGUUUUUGAGACAAGAGUCUCGCUCUGUUGCCCAGGAUGGAGUGCAAUGGUGUGAACUGCAACCUCUGUCUCCUGGGUUCAAGCAAUUCACCUGCCUCAGCCUCUUGAGUAGUUGGGAUUACAGGUGUCCACCACCACACCUGGCUAAAUUUUGUACUUUUAGUAGAGAUGGAGUUUCACCAUGUUGGUCAGGCUGGUCUCAAACUCCUGACCUCAUGAUCCACCCACUUCGGGCUCCCAAAAUGCUGGGAUUACAGGCGUGAGCCACCGUGCCCUGCCAAUCACAAUCUACCUUUAAGUGAUAAUAUGCUACCUUUUUUUUUUUUUUUUUAGACAGUCUCGCUCUGUCCCUCAGGCUGGAGUGCAGUGGCGCAAUCUUGGCUCACUGCAAGCUCUGCCUCCCGGGUUCACGCCAUUCUCCUGUCUCAGUCUCCCAAGUAGCUGGGACUACAGGUGCCUGCCACCAUGCCCGGCUAAUUUUUUGUAUUUUUAGUAGAGACAGGGUUUCACCGUGUUCGCCAGGAUGGUCUCUAUCUCCUGACCUUGUGAUCCGCCUGCCUCAGCCUCCCAAAGUGCUGGAAUUACAGGCAUGAGCCACCAUGCCCAGCCAAUAUACUACUUAAUAUAAAGCAUAAGAACAUUGGCCAGGUGCGGUGGCUUAUGCCUGUAAUCCCAGCACUUUGGGAGGCUGAGGAGGGUAGAUUGCUUGAGCCCACAAGUUUGAGACCAGUGACACCCCAUCUCUACAAAAAAAUGUAAAAAAUUAGCUGGGUAUGGUAGUACAUGCCUGUAGUCUCAGCUACUUGGGAUCGCUUGAGCCCAGGAAGUCAAGGCUGCAGUGAGCCAUGAUUGUGCCACUGCACUCCAACCUGGGCAACAGAGCAAGACCCUAUCCCCACUCCCCACCCUCCCAAAAAAAAGAACCUAAAAGUAGUGUAUUUCUGAUUCUCCACAUACACACUCCAUCUAUUUAAGAAACUACAAUAAAUACAAUGAGUUCAGGCUGGAUGCGGUGGCUCAUGACUGUAAUCCCAGCACCUUGGGAGGCAGAGGUUGGUGGAUCGCUCCACUGUACUCCAGCCUGGGUGACAGAGCGAGACUCUGUCUCAAAAUAAAUAAAUGAAUAAUAAAAUAAAAAGUAAAUGGUCUAGGCCUGGCCAACAUGGUGAAACCCUAUCUCUACAAAAAAUACAAUAUUUAGCCGGGUGUGGUGGUGUGCACCUGUAGUCCCAGCUACUGCGGAGGCUGAGGCAGGAGGAUCACUUGAGCCCAGGAAGUGAAGGCUGCAGUGAGCCACAAUUGCGCACCACUACACUCCAGCCUGGGUGACAGAGUGAGACCCUUUCUAAAAAAAAAAAAAAAAGGAAAGAAAAGAAAAUGUCCAAAUUUAAAGGCAGAGAUUGUCAGAUUGGAUUAAAAAAAGAUUCAGUAUCCUAUUUAUAAGAAACACACUUCAAAUAUAAAGACACAAAUAGGUUAAAAGUAGAAGGAUGGAAAAAGACAUACCUACCAUGCUAUCACAAAUCCAAAAAAAGCUAGCGUGGCUUAUCAAUAUCAGACCAAGUAGAUUGUAUAGCAGAAGACAUUACCAGGGAUAAAGAGGUUAAUUCAAUAAUGAUUAAGGGGUCAGUUAUUCCAGAGGACAUAACAAUUCUAAACGUUUAUGUACCUAAUAACAGAGCUUCAAAACACUUGAAGCAAAAACUUAUAGAACAGCAAAGAGAAAUGGAAAAGUUGACAAUCAUAGUUGAAGAUGUCAAUACCCUGCUUUCAAUAAUUGAUAGAAUUGAUAGAAUAGCUGGGUAUAGCCGUGUAUCACCUGUAGUCCCAGCUACUCAGGAGGCUGUGGCAGGAGAAGCACUUUAGCCCAGGACUUGAGUCUAGUCUGGACAACAUAGUGAGAUCCCACCUCUGAAUAAAUACAUAGAAAUUGAUAGAAUGAAUAGACAGAAAACCAGCAAAUAUAUAGAAGAUUUGAACAACAUUAUCAACCAACUCGAUCCAAUGGACAUUUAUAAAACACUUUACCCAACAACAGCAGAAUACACAUUCCUCUCAAGUUCACACAGAAUAUUUACCAACAUAGACAAUAUUCUGAGACAUUAAACAAGUCUCAGUACAUUUAAAGGGACUCAAGUCAUUCAAAGUAUGCUCUCUUACAAUGGAAUUAAAUUAGAAAUUGGUAACAGAAAGAGCUCUGAAAAUGCCCAAAUAACUUGAAAACGAAAUAACACACUUCUAAAUAAUCCACGGGUCAAAAAAGAAGUCAAAAGAGAAGUCAGAAAGUAUUUUGAACUGACUGAAAAGGAAAACCCAACAUAUCAAGUUGUGUGGUAUUAUUAGCUGUACGUUUCUUUGUAGAUGCUAUUUAUCAGGUUGAAGAAGUUCUCUAUUCUCAGUUUGCUGGGAAUUUUUUUUUUUGUUUUUUGUUUUUUGAAACUGAUUCUGGCUCUGUCACUCAGGCUGGAGUGCAGUGGCGUGAUCUCGGCUCACUGCAAGCUCUGCCUCCUGGGUUCACACCAUUCUCCUGCCUCAGCCUCCCGAAUAGCUGGGACUACAGGCGCCCGCCACCACGCCCGGCUAAUUUUUUGUAUUUUUAGUAGAGACGGGGUUUCACUGUGUUAGCCAGGAUUGUCUCGAUUUCCUGACCUCGUGAUCUGCCCGCCUCGGCCUCCCAAAGUGCUGGGAUUACAGGCAUGAGCCACCACGCCCGGCCAUUUUUUUUUUUUUUAAUUAUGAAUGGGUGUUGGAUUUUUGUCAAAAGCUUUUCUUGCAUCAAUUGAUAUGAUCCUAUGAUUUUCUUCUUUAUCCUGUUGGUAUGCUAAAUUGCAUUAAUUUUUUUGUGUUUUUGUUUUAUGAGACUGAGUCUCACUCUGUAGUCCAAGCUGAAGUGCAGUGGCAUGCAGUGGUCAGCUCACUGCGACCUCCGCCUCCGGGGCUCGGGCUUAAGCUAUUCUCGUGCCUCAGCCUCCCGAGAAGCUGGGACUACAGGCGCAUGUCACAUGCCACCAUGCCCAGCUAAUUGUUUGUAUUUUAGUAGAGAUGGGGUUUCACCAUGUUGCCCAGAGUGGUCUCGAACUCCUGAUCUCAGGCCAUCCACCUGCCUCGGCCUCCCAAAAUGCUGAGAUUACAGGUGUGAGCCACUGUGCCCUGCCUAAUUAAUUUUUGAAUAUUGAGUCAGCUUUGCACACUGCCAAUGCAAUCAAGAUGUAGUUAUUCUUAGGCUGGGCAUGGUGGCUCACACCUGUAAUCCCAGGACUUUGGGAGGCCGAGGAAGGUGGAUCACUGGAGGUCAGGAGUUCAAAACCAGCCUGGCCAACAUGGUGAAACCCCGUCUCUACUAAAAAUACAAAAAACUAAUCAGGCAUUGUGGCGUGUGUCUGCUACUCAGGAGGCUGAGGCAGAAGAAUGGCUUGAACCCGGGAGGCGGGAGGUUGCAGUGAGCCAAGAUCACGCCACUGCACUCCAGCCUGGGCAACAGAGCAAGACUCUGUCUCAAAAAAAAAAAAGUAGUAGUUAUUCUUUCUCUACCCCCUCUCCCUUCCCACUGACUGAGGCAGGCAAUGAUGAUGAAGCCUUAGGCAGAGGAGAUGGAAGGUGAUGUGCUCCGGAAUCACUGUAUGGGGGAAAACCCCCUCAUCAACCACAAACACUCACACUGGUCAGUCAUGUGAGUGAGAAACACAUGUCUUUUGGGUUAAGACGUUAAUAUUUGGGGAUUUAUAUUAGGGGAUUUAUUUAUUACAACAGCUAGCGUUUCCUUGCUGUUAACCUCAAAAAUCAUCAGUGUAUCUCGAAAGACACAUUCUUCUUCUUCUUCUCUUUUUAAUUGAGAUGGAGUCUCGCUCUGUUGCCCAAGCUGGAGUGCAGUGAUGCAAUCUUGGCUCACUGCAACCUCUGCUGGCCAGGUUCAAGCAAUUCUCCUGCCUCAGCGUCCAGAGUAGCUGGUAUUACAGGUGCCCAUCACCACGCCCAGCUAAUUUUUGUAUUUUUAGUAGAGACAGAGGUUCGCCAUGUUGGCCAGGCUGGUCUCGAACUCCUGACCUCAGGUGAUCCACCUGCCUUGGCCUCCCAAAGUGCUGGGAUGACAGGUUGGAGCCUCUGCGCCCAGCCCAAUUCUUGAGUAUUAAAUGCUUAACUGCCUUGUUAUACCUCCUGUACUAAGAACACUAAAAAUGUAGAGCAUUUUAGACAAGAAACCUAAUUAAAAAAAAAAAAAAAAAACCCAGUUCAAAAGCAUUUGGGAGUGAUUCAGAAAACCACAGCCCCGGAGCUAUAGUCUCUGAAGAUGCGGGGCCUGGACCUCUCUGCAUUCCCCCAUUGGUGUCUGCUGAAGACUAGCGUCUGCAGAAAUCCCAGUCUGUACACAGGCUGAGACUAUUCCUUUUCCCUACAUCCUGGUGAUGGGCACACACACACCUCAAGGGAGGCGUCGAUGCUCUCAGGCACUGAACUUGUUCCCGUGUCUUUAUGUUUCAUGAUCGUAUAUGAGAGAGGGAGCGUGGCCUGGAACUGUACACAAAAUGUGACCGAAAACAGCCUCUCGCUGUUUCCAAUUAAACAACCUGCUCGAGCCUUUGGUUUCUCUCCAUCACUUCCUGUCUCAAUCUCACUGACGUCUUCUUUUUUAGCAAAAUGCAUUUGUAUUUCAAGCAGAAGAUCAAUGGUUACAUUUUAAAACGCUAAAUAUCUUUUCUGCCAGGCCGAAUGGGGGUGUUUCUCCCAUCCUUCUCUGCACGUCUUCUCAUCUUAAAGCGAUGGAAUUGAGUUCUGUGAAAUCCGAUCUGGUGUUUAAGCUCUGAUUUAUAACAAAUUACCUAUGUGGCACUCAAGAAAGAACUUGUAUGUCAGAUAACACUGGAGUUUGAUUUCACCACCCUGCCCCCAAACCCGUUUAUUCAUUCAUGGCGGGGAGAGAUCCAGAGGGCCGGAGCAAUUUCAUCAACCCUGGAAUUCGCGCAUGGAGCCUCCUCUCCCCAGACCAUCCUGCUACCAUGAAUAGACAGCACGUGGCCGCCUUUUAUGAUAAGGUCAGAGGAAAGGAGUGCAUAGAGAGAGGCCGUUUGGAGAGUCGGAGCUGUAAGUUUCAGGUAUAAAACCUGAAUAGUACCAGUCCUCUUGCCUGGGGCCAGAUCAGACAGGAGGGAGGAGGUGGAAGGCAACUGUUCCACCUCCCGAGGUGAUUCCUUUGGACGCCUGAAUCCUUUGGAUUCCCUGGCUCCCAGCAGCGGACUCUGCCCUCAGCCAUCUUUAUCACUCCUGAUUAGGGCUGCAGACGCCUCCCUCCCCACCCUGCCUUGCCAGGCUUUGUGGCUCCCCGGGCUCGUUUUCUGAUAGAGCUGUCAGUUUUUACUACUGAUAGGAGAAAUCAUUUUCUUUCUUAGCUGAAUGUUAAUUGGCUCCCCUCCCCCAUUCACUUAGUAUAUCCCGUCCCCUAUUUUUUUUUUUUACCCCAAGGAAAAGGUACCUUAGUAGAGACACAUUUCGGAAAGACAAAGAAGGUGUUUCUUGCUAAAUUGCUAAUUGGUAACUGAAAUCAGAGGUUAAGAAAAAGCUAAAGAGGAGAGCGAGGAAGGAAUUAGGACCACAUGUUUCUGUAG
RNAcentral lists this long non-coding RNA (15612 nucleotides) under Homo sapiens (human). Its description in RNAcentral is "HSALNT0406247". The record is from RNAcentral. Lineage: Eukaryota; Metazoa; Chordata; Mammalia; Primates; Hominidae.